GGAGGAGAACAAACCACCAUUUAUAAGAGUGAAAAAACCUUCCCUUAGCAGACUCGUUUUAAAGUCUUGAGGGGAAGCCCGAAAGGGAAAGCUAAAAUAAGACAAU
This is a long non-coding RNA of Cucurbita maxima (winter squash), 106 nucleotides long. RefSeq lists it as uncharacterized. Lineage: Eukaryota; Viridiplantae; Streptophyta; Magnoliopsida; Cucurbitales; Cucurbitaceae. The record is from RefSeq and is a predicted model, not a curated record. The transcript is spliced from 3 exons.